This 500-nucleotide ribosomal RNA is filed under the name uncultured bacterium. RNAcentral describes it as "partial 16S ribosomal RNA". It matches the Rfam family "Bacterial small subunit ribosomal RNA", at positions 30 to 523 of the family's 1533-position model. The record is from RNAcentral.
AUUGAACGCUGGCGGCAUGCUUUACACAUGCAAGUCGAACGGCAGCACGGGCUUCGGCCUGGUGGCGAGUGGCGAACGGGUGAGUAAUAUAUCGGAACGUACCCAGAAGUGGGGGAUAACGUAGCGAAAGUUACGCUAAUACCGCAUACGAUCUACGGAUGAAAGUGGGGGACCUUCGGGCCUCAUGCUUUUGGAGCGGCAGAUAUCUGAUUAGCGAGGUGGUGAGGUAAAGGCUCACCAAGGCGACGAUCAGUAGCCGGUCUGAGAGGACGACCAGCCACACUUGAACUGAGACACGGUCCAGACUCCUACGGGAGGCAGCAGUGGGGAAUUUUGGACAAUGGGCGCAAGCCUGAUCCAGCAAUGCCGCGUGAGUGAAGAAGGCCUUCGGGUUGUAAAGCUCUUUUGUCAGGGAAGAAACGGUAGGGGCUAAUAUCCUUUGCUAAUGACGGUACCUGAAGAAUAAGCACCGGCUAACUACGUGCCAGCCGCCGCCGUAA